Molecule: long non-coding RNA, 1239 nt
Organism: Mauremys reevesii (Reeves's turtle)
Lineage: Eukaryota; Metazoa; Chordata; Testudines; Geoemydidae
Exons: 3
Source: RefSeq, a predicted model, not a curated record
AAGAGGAUGCUGGGGCUAUGAGGAAGUGGCCAGAUAAUAUGCUGCAGUGGUCACCAAGGGAAGUGGCUGAACAGCAGACUGCAGGUCCUCUGGAAAGGGGGAACACAGUGUAUGGCAUGGCCAGAGGGCUGUGUCACUGAAGAGGACAUCCUGGUCCUUGGAGAGAUCUGGGUCCUAGAGCAGGAGUGAUGGUGGUGAGACACCACCUGAAGAAGGUGCAAAGCUAACUCCCAAAACAGCCAGCAGGAGGUGCCAAAGUGGACCUGGACAGGAUUUUGAGCAAUUGUACUACUACUGAACCCAAGGAGGCUGUUGACCCUGCUUCCCCCCUAUGCCCAUCCCAAAAAACGAUCAGCAAGAGUCAGAGGAGGAACACAAGGAGGUCAAUGAAAGACCUGUCCAGGGAAAGCCAGGAUCACUUUGAGACUCAGGACCCUGAUGGCGGCUGUGUAGAAGUGAGUCCAGUUCCUAGUCAGAAGCCAGGCUAGGCCUGAGGAGGCAGAUCCUAUGGAAGGAACCUCAACAUUCCCCCAGCCAUGGCACCUGCAGCAGCCAGACCCUCAAGGACAGGGCCUCUAUCAAAGGCUAAGCAGCUGGUUAACCUGAGGGGGAAGAAACAGAAAACUCAGGAUAACAUGUUUGCAGACCUCAUUGGAGCCUCCCAUACAACUCCAAAGACAAUGGCAAGGUGGAGGUUGUCUGAGGUUGGAGAGGGAAAAAGAAAUGGAGCUCUCCAGAGGCAGCACUACAAUUGCAAAGACAUUGUGGAGAAAGACAGGGAUAUGCAGAGGCAAUAUAGAAGCAGAAUGCUCCGCUGCCAAGCAUGCUGCUACUGGGCCCACAGAUAAUCCUGUGCCCUAAACCAGGACCGAGCCAUGUUCUGCAGCCCCUGACAGUACAGGGUACUGGGAACACCAGCAUCUGCUCCCUGCUGUAACCAGUGAUGAUCUGCCAAAAUGCUAACAACCGGUUCCCUCCUCCUCACCCCAUGAGGGGUCAUGCCCCCCCCCCCAACUCCUGCCCCAUCCAACCCCCACCACCAUGUUCCUUGACAGCCCCCACGCUGGGACCCAUGCCCUAUCUACCCCCUUCCCUGUCCCCUGACUGCCCCUUGCCACCCCAUCCAACCCUUUCUCUGAUUCCUGAUAGCACCCCAGGACCCCUACCCCAUCCAACCACCCCUUCUCUGUCCCCUGACUGUCCCUGGAAUCCCUACCCCUAACUGCCCCCACUGCCCCA